UAUAUUAUAAAGCCUGUUGCGUAAAUCCCUUUAGAAUGACUACUUCACCCACACUAUAACUCAUCUAAUUACAAAUACGCCACUGAAGUAUACGUUCAAUCGUUCCAAACCGUUGAUUACUCGCACGUGUCGCUCAUCGGUCUUUCCGUAUCUGUAUCAGCUCAAAUCAAGUUUCUACUCUAAACAUCUACUUUCAAAAAAUCAGACUCAUCGGCUCAUCUGUUUUAGGGUAAAGCUUCAUCUCCUUCAAAUUUUGUUCGAUUUACAUUGCAACUGCGGCAGAUUCGUAAUUGAUGGAUUCUUUGGAACGGAGUAAUCUUCAUUCGCCGGCUCCGGAGUUGAAACGGAGUACUCUCAAAUCGUCGCCUCCACAGUUGGGUAUGCAAUACCCUUUGGACUGAAUUCUAAAUAUGCUCAUCCAGAUGAGAUACUGUUUCUUGGUUUUGCUACUAUUACUGGUCCUGCCAUCACUGGACCCCAUUUGAUCACUCUGUGGUUGUGGAUGUAGUGAGAGUCCUCGAAACUGCUGAAGCACAUUGUGGUUACCAUUUCUCCUGGAGCAUUUCAAACUUCUUGCCCUUAUAUGGGGGAGCUGAUUUCCAUGACUAUCAUCACCGUCAGCUCUAUACCAAGUCUGGCAACUAUUCAUCUACUUUUGUUUACAUGGAGUGAAAAGUAGCGUUCUGCAAGAUAAUAAGAUGCCAAUAAGAUCCGGGACUGAAUGAGUGGAGUUCUGGCAAUGAAUCUGACUACCAUGUCAUUUUCACUUGAUGAAAUCAAGAAAGCAAGGCCAAGCUUGGAGUGAAUCCCCUGUUAUGAUCAAUGUGCUGCUAUUUAUCAGUCAUUCUACAUUUAUGAAGGGAGAUUAAACCAGCUUUGAGAUUUAACCUUCAUUUGGUGGGGAGACUUUAGCACUUUAUCCUAUGUCAAAUACACAACUAUGGACGAGUAUCUCAAUAAAUUUGUCUAAACCAAAUCUAUUUUGUCUACUAAAUGAAGCAUAAUACUACCUUUGUACUGAACUUAUAUAGUUUUUCUACCUGUGAUAUGUCGAGUACUUCAUUGGUUUGGGUUCGUUUCUUGCGACUGUUUAACACUGCAGAGCUUUAGAGUAUGCCCUUUUGUUAAAUAAAAUUAUGAUUAUGGGAUUAUCUUUCCGCCAAUGCUUAGUACUAUGUAUUUGAUUGUUGUGGUGAGCUCCUACAUGCAGCAUGAUGUAUGAAGUUCUUAUUCAUGAUAUUAUUGCACUUAUUUCUCUUUUUAUUUGGGUCAUAUAAGCUUUGUU
This is a long non-coding RNA of Daucus carota subsp. sativus, 1285 nucleotides long. RefSeq lists it as uncharacterized. The transcript has 7 exons. Lineage: Eukaryota; Viridiplantae; Streptophyta; Magnoliopsida; Apiales; Apiaceae. The record is from RefSeq and is a predicted model, not a curated record.